RNAcentral lists this long non-coding RNA (3597 nucleotides) under Mus musculus (house mouse). RNAcentral describes it as "long non-coding RNA chr15:3280616-3284213". The record is from RNAcentral. Lineage: Eukaryota; Metazoa; Chordata; Mammalia; Rodentia; Muridae.
AGUGCUCUGCUCAAAACCGUCUUCGCAUGAGGCGGGUAUCUUUGCAGGCUGCAAGGCGCUGCUCUAGGUCUCGGAUAGUGUUCUGCAGACUUGCAAUUUCUUUGCUCUUUUCUUCCUGAAGAUGCUGAAGCUUCUAAAUGAAGCAGAAAUAAGUCUGUCACAGCAACUUAGAGGUAAGGUUAGGUAUAGUGAACCACAAAACAACAAUCACAACACUUGUAUUUUAACAGACUAGCUUACUCUGAAAGGCCUGCCCUCUCAUUUUUGUGUGAUUUAUGGAGAAAAACUAUUUUAAGGCUACAAAAAGAAUUUAAUAUAUUUAAAACAAGUAUUAGGUAAUUUUUAUAGGAACAUCCUAAGACAAUUAAUUUUCUGAAGUUACAGUUAUGGGACAGAAUGCACAUACCCUUCUGUAGAUACUCUGCAGCAAAAUAGUCGUGUCCGGAUAUGAUUUUGAUUUAGUCUGAGCUCUUGCUAGUUUAGUGUCAAACUGAACCAAAUUAAAAAAGAGAAUGUUAUUAAGGGUGUUAUAGUUUAAAUACUUACAAACAAUGUUUCUGGAGGAAAAGUAUACCUUUGCUAUGUAUUUUGUAAUUGAACACAUUCCAUUUAACAGACAGAAAAACCUUUAUGAAAUAAUCCAGAAAAAAGAACAAGGAACAUGCAAACAAGAGUCAGCUAGGUGUGGGGUUAAAACUGCAGUGGUGGCUUUACAAAGAGCCAGACACCACUGGGCACAACCUCCAUAUGUGGCACAGGGCUUUUUCUCAAACCCCACUGCUCCUCCCACUCCUCCACAUGAGGCAUGUGCUUGACCACUGAGCCAGGAAAGCUCUUCAUGUUACAACUGGUGUACUUUUGUCAGUAAAAAACAAAGCAGUGUGAGUCACAGCCUUAGGAGAGAAGCUCACAUGUCUUUCAAACUUUGAAGCCAAACAUUAAAAUUUGGGUGUGAUUUAGUUGAUUCAGGCUUUUAUAAAAACUUAAAUUGAAUCAAGUUAAAAGACAGUCUUCUCAUAAGCCAUUUUUUUUUUUUGCCCAGUAUUCCACUAUAAUUCUUCCUUUUAUAUUUAUCUUAGCAUGUCCUCUGAGAAAACUAGAAUAAGUUUUCCAUGAGCUUGUGUUCUGUCUUAAGGAGAGAAUGGAUAGUUACAAUGAAGAUACAUACAGACAUCUGAUUACUAUUCAAACAGCAUAAUCAGACUAGACUAGUGACAUGGUCCAGAUAACAAAUAAAAUGCAGCUCCUAACUGAUAGAUUACAAGUUGGUGGUACAUCUUGAAAUAAGGCUUGUUGUAUGUCAGUUGACCAUCCAGCCCUCUCUGUGGAAUACUUGACUAGGGUAUGGCCCCAGCAGUACAGCAGCACAGUGGUAGCCAUAACAACAGCAAAAUCCCUCUGAAGCAACAAGCAUUUCCCCGCUUCUGCCCCAUAUGGUUACAUACAGACUCCUAACAAGUACUCUAGGCAUAGCAAAGUUCCUGGUAAAUAAACAGUAAAUUAUAUCAAUUAAGAUCUGUGAAUAUUUGCAGAAUGUAAAUUAGAAGUAGAGAUGAGUAGAAGCUAUGGUACAAUAAUUAAAAAAAAAAGAUGUUGGUAGAUUUUAGAAAAAAUGCAAAAGACAUAAAAGAUUCUGCUGAUUCUGCUAACGCAUCAGUGUCCUGGAGAUUCUGACACAAGGCUGAACAGCUCAUUGAAAAGAACAAAGAACUAGAACAUUUAUGAGAUACACUUACGUAAAAUACAUUUACAAAUAUUUCAAAGGAAUUUUGUCUCUUGAAUGUAUAUAUCUUCAUAGGAAUAUAUUAUGGAGAAAUUUGUCUUGUUUUUAUCCCAAAUAAAACGAAAGGGUUCUGUGGUUUCUUCUGGGGACAGAGAAAUACUGAGGGUCCCCAUGCUUUUCCCUUGCUGGGAUGAUAGCCUUAUGUUGCCUGCAUAGACUAGACUGGAAGACCAGGGGACUCCUGAGUUAUUGCCCGCAUUCUGAGAGGAAGCAAUAUCCUUCCUGGAAGCGAGGACCGCCUUCAGAUCAAGUGCUAGAAAGCCGAUGUCCUAUAGACUGAGCAUGGCUUUUGCUGAAGAAUAAGCACGUGUGAUGUCUUCUAUCUAGGUCUGAAAUUUAUGUCAUUGCAAUAAGAAAUAACAAAGUGCGGUUUACACUAAGGAGCGUGCUCCUGUUUAGCCGACUCAUAAACACCUACUUCUAGAUGCAGUCUGAGGAUUUCAUUUUGCUUUUCCUUCUCCUGAGUCCUCAACUUUGCAUUUAACUCUGAUAUUUCCAUCUCCUUCCUUGCCAUUAGUUCUUUGUGCUUUUCUUCAUUUAGUUCAACUAAAUAAAACAGAAACAAAUUCAUUCACUUAACAAUUCAAAGUUAUGUGAUUUCAUUUCUUUAUUUUACAUUUACUUAUUCAACAUGUUUAUUGCUCACCUAGGCAUUAUACUAAACACUCCAUGCAAACUACACGUGUUGCAUGUUUUCACUGAAUUUCUACUUUAGGUAGGAGACAAACAUUAAUUGCAACUGUGAUUGGGACAAUGCAGGAGAAACACAGCAAUGUGCUGACAGCUUGGGAGAAAAUUCUAUUACUUGCAUUUUCCAUCACUGAAACAAAAUAUCCAACAAGAAGCAAUUUAGGGGAAGAAAGUUUUAUUUUGGUUCAUGGUAUGAGUAGAUUCAAGCCCUGAUGUGGAGAAGGCAUAGCCAAGGUGGCUCUGUGGUGCUGGGAGUUUGCAGUAGCUGCUUGGUCUCAGUGGACCAGGGAGCAGACACAAGUGGGGCUCAACUAUAAAACUCAAGGUUUACCACCCCAGUGACACAUUUCCUCCAGGCAGGCCCUACCUCCUAAAGGUUCCGCAGUCUCUCAAAACAGCAGCAACUAGGGUCCAAGGGUUCAAACACAUUAGCCUGUGGGUGACAUUUCACACCCAAAAGAUAAGAGAAUUGUUAACCAAAUUUGUUGGGUGAGCCUAAGAUGGAAGGGGCUUUUCUCAGGAUGCUAUCUUUAAGGCAGAACUGCACAUAAAAGUUAUUUUGCUAGGUACAGUUGUUACAUCAAAUGAGAGCUGAUGAGAGAAAUGCUGGCUUGUCUCAGGAGAAAGUAACAAGAGGUACAUGGUAAGCCCCUUACCCAGAGGUCGUUUUACAUUGUGGUUUGAAUGGGAAGUCUGGCUGCAUAGCUUUGUCAUUGGUAUGCAUGUAGUGUCCUAGACUGUGCAAAGCACAUCAUUGUGAGGUGGUCUGAGUAAGAAUGGUCUCCAUAGGCAUAUAUAUAUAUAUAUGCCUAUGGAGAUAUAUAUAUAUAUAUAUAUAUAUAUAUAUAUAUGAAUGUGUAGCCUCCAGGGGAUGGCUCUAUAUGAAACGAUUAGGAAGGGUGAAGUUUCAAAAGCCCUUGUCAAGCUUAGUCUCUCUGCCAAAGGAUCCAGAUACAGCUCUCAGCUGCUGCUCUAGCUCCUACCUGCCAGUUGCCAUGUGCCCAACCAUGAUCAUAACGGACUAAAGUUCUGAAGCUAGAAUGUGCUUACAUUUUUAUUUUAUUUUUAAGUAAAUGAUUUUUAAGAAUGUGAAUUUUAUUAAUAAAUCAUAUUUUAAAAUUGUG